This 476-nucleotide ribosomal RNA is filed under the name Veillonella parvula. RNAcentral describes it as "bacterial SSU rRNA". It matches the Rfam family "Bacterial small subunit ribosomal RNA", at positions 28 to 473 of the family's 1533-position model. The record is from RNAcentral. Lineage: Bacteria; Bacillati; Bacillota; Negativicutes; Veillonellales; Veillonellaceae.
GACGAACCCUGGCGGCGUGCUUAACACAUGCAAGUCGAACGAAGAGCGACGGAAGCUUGCUUCUAUCAAUCUUAGUGGCGAACGGGUGAGUAACGCGUAAUCAACCUGCCCUUCAGAGGGGGACAACAGUUGGAAACGACUGCUAAUACCGCAUACGAUCUAAUCUCGGCAUCGAGGAUGGAUGAAAGGUGGCCUCUACAUGUAAGCUAUCACUGAAGGAGGGGAUUGCGUCUGAUUAGCUAGUUGGAGGGGUAACGGCCCACCAAGGCGAUGAUCAGUAGCCGGUCUGAGAGGAUGAACGGCCACAUUGGGACUGAGACACGGCCCAGACUCCUACGGGAGGCAGCAGUGGGGAAUCUUCCGCAAUGGACGAAAGUCUGACGGAGCAACGCCGCGUGAGUGAUGACGGCCUUCGGGUUGUAAAGCUCUGUUAAUCGGGACGAAAGGCCUUCUUGCGAAUAGUGAGAAGGAUAGAC